This 134-nucleotide RNase P RNA is filed under the name Gammaproteobacteria bacterium. RNAcentral's name for it is "partial RNase P RNA component class A". It matches the Rfam family "Bacterial RNase P class A", at positions 219 to 367 of the family's 367-position model. Rfam says of the family: Ribonuclease P (RNase P) is a ubiquitous endoribonuclease, found in archaea, bacteria and eukarya as well as chloroplasts and mitochondria. Its best characterised activity is the generation of mature 5'-ends of tRNAs by cleaving the 5'-leader elements of precursor-tRNAs. The record is from RNAcentral. Lineage: Bacteria; Pseudomonadati; Pseudomonadota; Gammaproteobacteria.
GGAGCAAGGCCAAAUAGAGAUCUUUUGAUACGGCCCGUAUCAGAUCCGGGUAGGCCGCUUGAGGUUGUCGGUGACGGCAGCCCUAGAUGAAUGAUUGUCCUCGACAGAACCCGGCUUACAGGCUGACACUCGCU